GGCGGAGUAGCUCAGCUGGUUAGAGCGCACGACUCAUAAUCGUGAGGUCGCGGGAUCGAGCCCCGCCUCCGCUACCA
Molecule: transfer RNA, 77 nt
Filed under: Serinicoccus marinus
Lineage: Bacteria; Bacillati; Actinomycetota; Actinomycetes; Micrococcales; Ornithinimicrobiaceae
Also listed under: 3 other names
Rfam family: tRNA
About the family: Transfer RNA (tRNA) molecules are approximately 80 nucleotides in length. Their secondary structure includes four short double-helical elements and three loops (D, anti-codon, and T loops). Further hydrogen bonds mediate the characteristic L-shaped molecular structure. tRNAs have two regions of fundamental functional importance: the anti-codon, which is responsible for specific mRNA codon recognition, and the 3' end, to which the tRNAs corresponding amino acid is attached (by aminoacyl-tRNA synthetases). tRNAs cope with the degeneracy of the genetic code in two manners: having more than one tRNA (with a specific anti-codon) for a particular amino acid; and 'wobble' base-pairing, i.e. permitting non-standard base-pairing at the 3rd anti-codon position.
Source: RNAcentral